RNAcentral lists this ribosomal RNA (252 nucleotides) under uncultured bacterium. Its description in RNAcentral is "partial 16S ribosomal RNA". It matches the Rfam family "Bacterial small subunit ribosomal RNA", at positions 524 to 776 of the family's 1533-position model. The record is from RNAcentral.
UACGGAGGAUGCGAGCGCUAUCCGGAUUUAUUGGGUUUAAAGGGUGCGUAGGCGGGCUUUUAAGUCAGCGGUAAAAAUUCGGGGCUCAACCCCGUCCGGCCGUUGAAACUGGGGGUCUUGAGUGGGCGAGAAGAAGGCGGAAUGCGUGGUGUAGCGGUGAAAUGCAUAGAUAUCACGCAGAACCCCGAUUGCGAAGGCAGCCUUCCGGCGCCCUACUGACGCUGAGGCACGAAAGUGCGGGGAUCGAACAGG